UACAGAGGUCCCAAGCGUUGUUCGGAUUCACUGGGCGUAAAGGGUGCGUAGGUGGCGGGGUAAGUUCGAUGUGAAAUCUCCGGGCUCAACUCGGAAACGGCAUUGAAAACUACUCUGCUGGAGGGUCGGAGGGGAGACUGGAAUUCUCGGUGUAGCAGUGAAAUGCGUAGAUAUCGAGAGGAACACCAGUGGCGAAGGCGAGUCUCUGGACGACUCCUGACACUGAGGCACGAAAGCCAGGGGAGCAAACAGG
This 253-nucleotide ribosomal RNA is filed under the name uncultured bacterium. RNAcentral's name for it is "partial 16S ribosomal RNA". It matches the Rfam family "Bacterial small subunit ribosomal RNA", at positions 524 to 776 of the family's 1533-position model. The record is from RNAcentral.